CAAGACCUUGCGCUUUUGGAGCGGCCGAUGUCUGAUUAGCUGGUUGGUGAGGUAAAGGCUUACCAAGGCUUCGAUCAGUAGCUGGUCUGAGAGGACGACCAGCCACACUGGGCCUGAGACACGGCCCAGACCCGUACGGGAGGCAGCAGGGGAGAAUUGGGGACCAUGGGGGCAACCCUGACCCAGCCAUGCCGCGUGCGUGAAGAAGGCCUUCGGGUUGUAAAGCUCUUUCAGCCGGAACGAAAAGGUUACGGUUAAUACCCGUGACUAAUGACGGUACCGGAAGAAGAAGCACCGGCUAACUACGUGCCAGCAGCCGCGGUAAUACGUAGGGUGCGAGCGUUAAUCGGAAUUACUGGGCGCAAAGCGUGCGCAGGCGGUUUUGUAAGUCAGAUGUGAAAUCCCCGGGCUUAACCUGGGAACU
RNAcentral lists this ribosomal RNA (424 nucleotides) under uncultured Nitrosospira sp. Its description in RNAcentral is "bacterial SSU rRNA". It matches the Rfam family "Bacterial small subunit ribosomal RNA", at positions 207 to 622 of the family's 1533-position model. The record is from RNAcentral. Lineage: Bacteria; Pseudomonadati; Pseudomonadota; Betaproteobacteria; Nitrosomonadales; Nitrosomonadaceae.